CUCUGUGACUGGCUUGCUUGAUGGUUAGGGUCUGAUCGCUGCCUGAGACACCAUAUCGGUACUCCUCAGAGUUGAUUCUGCGUGUGAAAAACAUAAAAAGAAAAAAAGUCAACUUCUUCAUGCAAUGUGAUCACAGGAUCUGGUUUGCCACUGAAAGGAAUCUUGAUGCUGACCACUUCACCUCGGAGAGCAUGAACUGCUCCCAUGCCUUCAAGAGUUUUAGGAUGGCAUCAACUGUUCCAAAAACAUUGCUGAGCUGGACUUUGUAUUUCCCAGCAUGAGUCUUACGUUGGACAUUCUUCAUGACAAGAUGAGUAUAGUGCUCAGUGUUUUCAAUAGUAAUGUUUUCUGAGUUUUGCAAAAGUUUCUGACCAUGGAACCAAGUCAUGGCAGGUACUGGACGACCAAUGUACAUAACAUGAAGCCGAAGUGUGGAACCCACAGCUCCAUAAUAUUUCUCUUUCAGUGGGUAACCAGGAUGGAACUGCGGUGUUGCUUGCAGGAGAAGCUUACUACUGGUUUCUACUUCUCCAACCUCAUUGGUGGCUAUGCAGGCACUGUCUCCAGACUGUCUAUAUUCAACCCAGUAUCCAAGAAUUUCUUUACCACCAUCACAUUCAGGUUUCUCCCACUGUAGAGUGACACUAUCUUUGGAUAUUGAAAGAAUCUCAAGUUCUCCUGGUUGGCUUGGUUUAUCUGAAAUAUUUUAAAAUAAUGAAAAGGGAGUCAGCUUUACUGGUGAAAUAAAAGGACCAAACAU
This 760-nucleotide long non-coding RNA is filed under the name Homo sapiens (human). RNAcentral describes it as "TTN antisense RNA 1". The record is from RNAcentral. Lineage: Eukaryota; Metazoa; Chordata; Mammalia; Primates; Hominidae.